Molecule: ribosomal RNA, 397 nt
Filed under: uncultured bacterium
Lineage: Bacteria
Description: partial 16S ribosomal RNA
Rfam family: Bacterial small subunit ribosomal RNA
Source: RNAcentral
AUACGUAGGGGGCGAGCGUUGUCCGGAAUGAUUGGGCGUAAAGGGCGCGUAGGCGGCCCGGUAAGUCUGGAGUGAAAGUCCUGUUUUUAAGAUGGGAAUUGCUUUGGAUACUGUCGGGCUUGAGUGCAGGAGAGGUAAGUGGAAUUCCCAGUGUAGCGGUGAAAUGCGUAGAGAUUGGGAGGAACACCAGUGGCGAAGGCGACUUACUGGACUGUAACUGACGCUGAUGCGCGAAAGUGUGGGGAGCAAACAGGAUUAGAUACCCUGGUAGUCCACACUGUAAACGAUGAAUGCUAGGUGUAGGGGGUAGCGACCCCUUCUGUGCCGCAGUCAACACAAUAAGCAUUCCGCCUGGGGAGUACGGCCGCAAGGUUGAAACUCAAAUGAAUUGACGGGG